Long non-coding RNA from Salmo salar (Atlantic salmon), 1170 nucleotides. RefSeq lists it as uncharacterized. NCBI's taxonomy places the organism in Eukaryota, Metazoa, Chordata, Actinopteri, Salmoniformes, Salmonidae. The record is from RefSeq and is a predicted model, not a curated record.
GUUGUUCUUGUUAACUGGGAGUCAGAAUGAUCCAGUUCCUCAUACCUUUUUCCGUCUUACUUUUUUGCCUUAUGGGUCUCUCUCUCAGCCUUGAGGUUUAUCAGACUCCCUCUGAAGUCUUACUGAAACGUGGAGAGAACGUUCAGAUCUUCUGCCACCAUGAGAGAACUAACUACAGACUGAUGCAGUGGUUCCAGCAGUCACCGGGAGAAAAGCAACUAAAACUUAUAGCCUAUUUAUAUUUCAAACCACGUACAUUGAAGAACAUCUAAACGUGAGCGGGGAUUUGAGUCAGAACGACCCGAAGAAUGUUUCUCUGAACAUGUUCAACCUUAAAGGUCCAGAUCACAGUGCAGUUUAUUUCUGUGCUGCAAGUGAUGGCCACAGUGUUGUAGAUUCCCGUCUCUGCACUACAAUACCCUGUGUGACACAAUCUGUGUCACUGUAGUGUACUAUUUAACAGAACACCUCCCUCACACCUGUGUUGAGGUCUGGAUUUGAGCAGAUAUAUUGUAACCACAGCUAGAAUGAGUAGAACGGGCCUCCUCAUUCAAGUCAAUGAUGCCAUAAUGGGUGGACUGCCAGACAUCCUUUCUAGACAUUAUAUUUCUGUGACAACGUUCUGUCAUUCCAUCGCUGAUGAGGUCUCUUCCUGUCCCUCUUUGUCCCCUCCAGUCAGUUCAGAUGAGAUGUCAGUUAGUUGUUGAUGUUCAGCUCAAGACUCAACAUGAUCAGAAUAAUCUUACUCUGUUGGCUCUCAGGUCUCUCGCUCAGUGUUGAGGUUCACCAGACUCCCUCUGCAGUCUUCAGCAGACCUGGAGAGAAUAUUCAGCUCUUCUGCCACCAUCAGAAAACAGAGUGAUGCUGUGAUACCAGAAAUCACAAGGAGAAAAAGCACUGAAACUCAUUGGAUAUUUGAAUGUUAAUUCUCCAACCAUUGAGAGUUCAUAUGAAGAGCAUUUCAAUAUGAGUGGGGAUUUGGGUGGAGCCGGCCCAAAGAAUGCCUCUCUGAACAUGUUCAACUUGAGACAACCACAAUACAGUGCAGUGUAUUUCUGUGCUGCUAGUAAGGCACAGUGUUGCAGAUUCCCCUGUCUACACUACAAAAACCUUCUCUCAUUCACUGUCUCACUAGAUUAUAAUGAAGCAACACCUGCACUGAGGUCUGGA